RNAcentral lists this ribosomal RNA (490 nucleotides) under uncultured bacterium. Its description in RNAcentral is "partial 16S ribosomal RNA". It matches the Rfam family "Bacterial small subunit ribosomal RNA", at positions 28 to 507 of the family's 1533-position model. The record is from RNAcentral.
GACGAACGCUGGCGGCGUGCUUAACACAUGCAAGUCGAACGGUGAACGAGGGAGCUUGCUCCCUCCGGGUCAGUGGCGAACGGGUGAGUAACACGUGAGCAAUCUGCCCCGAACUCUGGGAUAAGCGUUGGAAACGACGUCUAAUACCGGAUACGACGCGGUAGGGCAUCCUCCCCGCGUGGAAAGAACUUCGGUUCGGGAUGAGCUCGCGGCCUAUGAGCUUGUUGGUGAGGUAACGGCUCACCAAGGCGACGAUGGGUAGCCGACCUGAGAGGGUGAUGGGCCACACUGGAACGGAGACACGGUCCAGAGGCCUACGGGAGGCAGCAGUGGGGAAGCUGCGGCAAAGGGCGAAAGCAUGACGGAGAAACGCCGCGUGGGUGAUGAAGGUCUGCGGGUCGUAAAGCUCUGUUAUUAGGGAAGAACAAAUGUAGAGGAAAAUAUGGACGUCUUGACGGUACCUAAACAGAAAGCCACGGCUAACUACGUG